Long non-coding RNA from Canis lupus familiaris (dog), 667 nucleotides. RefSeq lists it as uncharacterized. The record is from RefSeq and is a predicted model, not a curated record. The transcript is spliced from 2 exons. NCBI's taxonomy places the organism in Eukaryota, Metazoa, Chordata, Mammalia, Carnivora, Canidae.
CCCCGGGGACGCGCCCGAGCCUCCCGCACCCGCACGACGGAGGAGAGCCGCUGUCGCCGGGAGGGCCCGGCCUCCCCAGCCGCGUGUGCGACACCGACCGCUGGCCCUGCGGUCACCACCGUCACGGGGACACGUGGAGACAGGCUGGCGGGCAGGACUGUUCGUGUGGGCACAGUGAAGACAACAGGAGUCCAGAGGAAGCAGGAAAACUCCGCCUCCCCUAGUCGGCUGAUGUAGCCAAAUGGAACGCCGGCAUGGAAAGCGCACCCCCUUCCUGCUUGGAGCCCUUCCAGACUCUGCUCGGGAGACGUUGAAAGUGACAAGUUCCCCGGGUGCCGGGGUGGCCCCCAUCCAUAGAGCAUCUGAGUCUUGAUCUUGAGGACGCAAGUUGGAGCCCUGUGGUGUGUGCAGAGAUUACUUAAAUGCACACACACACACACGCACACACACACAAAACUGGCGAGUCCGUGGCCAGUCAAUCCAGUGUCUUCUAGCAUCCCCUCUGUGGCCUGUGGACAUUUUUGGUGAGUAGCAUUCCAGAUGAAAUGGGUUAGCUGGUUAGAAGCAGCCCCUGCUGCCACUUCCAUGUGCUCCUCCACACCUACCCUAUCCGUAUUUUUUAAAGAUUUAUUUGCAAUAAAUAAAUAAAUAAAUAAAUAAAUAAAGA